Molecule: long non-coding RNA, 1820 nt
Organism: Salvia splendens (bonfire salvia)
Lineage: Eukaryota; Viridiplantae; Streptophyta; Magnoliopsida; Lamiales; Lamiaceae
Exons: 2
Source: RefSeq, a predicted model, not a curated record
GUUAAUUGAUAACGUGUAGAAUUUUAAUACUCCUAGUGAAUCGAUUACGCAUUUUUACUGCAUGAUUCGUGGAUUAAUGAAAAUCUAUAGAUAAUUUUGUUUUCUAGAGUUGUGAUAAUGUUGUUGUUUGGAUUCGAUUUGAUGACGUUCAUGUUGUUUUUAUUUAAAUGUGAACUUGGAUGGUUUUCUUCUGAAUUUGAAAUUUCCCUCGUGAUUUGAAUUGAUUGAUUUUGUUUUGCUGUGGGGAAGAGAGUUUUCUGGACUGAUUGUGAAUGCCACAGUGAGGUGGUGAAGUAUUUAAUUAAAUUGAAAAAAAAAGUGAAAGAAUUGUGUUGUCUGAUAAAUUUUGUUGAAUGUACUCUGUUAUUUUGAGCACUAUAAUGAUCUAUGAUGGAGGAAAUGAUUUCUGUUAAACAAUUUGUUAUGAUCUGAAGCUUAUUGGUUAUUUCGACCUGACUUGUGAGAGUAGUGAUGACUUGGUUGGAGCAAUCCAUAAUCAAGAGUUGAAUAGUGGAUUCUUGUGUCUACUGCUAGAUUUACUAUGAUUUGCAUUUGCUGAUAUGUGCUAAAUGAAAUGGUGAAUAUUUUCCCUCGUAGCAUUUGUUGUACUUGGGAGGUGCAGAGGCUAAAUGUGAUCAGUUCUUGUUGGGAGUUAGUAUCAUGUUUUAAUGUCUAGUGCUUGUUGGACUCCCUGAUAACAUUAGUAUGCUGUUUCAUCUGACCUCUUGGAAUUAUUAUUUUGUUUGAUCUGUUGCAUUGGUGUAACUAAUGUUUUGUGCUCAUUGGAACCCCCUGUUGUUGGGGAAGGCUUUGUGUACUUCCUUGCUUACAUGUGUUGUCUGAGUGUUCUUGAAGUGACAUUUAGGUGUGAAUAGCUACUAGCAGAUGUAAUAUAGCAGUGAGAGGUUGUUUUUCGUUUGUUUGUUUGUUCGGGGGGUCAGGGGAGCGAAUGGCCACUGUUUUUAUCCUUUUUUAUUAUGGCACGCGAAGAUUCUGAUAUGUAGUUAUGUAGAUGAUUUGAGAUACAUCUAUUUUGUUAUCAUAUAGGAGCAUUUGCAGCAUUAGAUGGAAUCAACUGAGGAGUAUGAUGAAUUUCUAAAGAAGGUGGAGAGGACUAUAUAUCUGGACAACAUCUCACCGGCUGUGACUGAACCUGUCUUGAAAGCUGCUAUUGAUCAGUUCGGCAAAGUAAUCACGGUUCAGUUCAUACAUGCCUACCUGCAACCGAAUGGCAUCCAUGCUGCCCUAGUGGAGGUGGAAAACAAAAAACAGGCAGAAACUCUCAUCAAUGAGCUGGAGAGCGUUCCAUUCAUGGUUGGUGGAUGCCUAGGCCUGUCCGGGCCCAGGCUGCUCGUAUCGAGAUGUUUGCUGAUCGUCCCAGAAAACCAGGACGUCGUAUACAGUGCAGAUGGGUGACCAACAAGGACCCCCAGUAUGAUGUGGCUAUGAAAGUGCCCAGAAGCUGGUGAAGAAACAUGCUGAAGAAGUUGCAUUCUUGCUCAACGAACAAGUGAAAGAGGAGGAACAACUUGCCAAAAUGCAGAGUCACACUCUGAAUGGUCACCACAAUAAACUUAAGCUGAUUGAGAGUAUUUCUGGAGAAGGAAAACUUAGAAAGCUGGCGCAGAUUUAUGAGAUUGACAUUUGAUGUUUCCCAGUAUUGUCCCUUGCUUGUUUGGUGCAGCUGUUAAGCGUGAAGUUUUUGUCUAACAUUAGAAGAGACAGAAACCAUGAAUCAUGUCAUUCCAUUUUAUAGAACUAAGUAAAGCAUGUAUAGUGACACUCUUGGUUGAUGGCAUGGAAUUCUAAUUUUUGCUACA